RNAcentral lists this ribosomal RNA (1414 nucleotides) under uncultured bacterium. Its description in RNAcentral is "partial 16S ribosomal RNA". It matches the Rfam family "Bacterial small subunit ribosomal RNA". The record is from RNAcentral.
AGAGUUUGAUCCUGGCUCAGGAUGAACGCUAGCGACAGGCUUAACACAUGCAAGUCGAGGGGCAGCGGGGUAGGAAGCUUGCUUUCUGCCGCCGGCGACCGGCGCACGGGUGAGUAACACGUAUGCAACCUGGCCGUGACUGAUGGAUAACCGGGAGAAAUCCCGCCUAAUACAACAUAAUGCCGGGAGGGGACAUCCCCUGCCGGCCAAAGGGGGCGACCCCGGUCACGGAUGGGCAUGCGGCGCAUUAGGUAGUUGGUGGGGCAACGGCCCACCAAGCCGACGAUGCGUAGGGGUUCUGAGAGGAAGGUCCCCCACAUUGGAACUGAGACACGGUCCAAACUCCUACGGGAGGCAGCAGUGAGGAAUAUUGGUCAAUGGCCGGAAGGCUGAACCAGCCAAGUCGCGUGAGGGAAUAAGGCCCUACGGGUCGUAAACCUCUUUUGCCAGGGAGCAAUGCCGUCCACGUGUGGACGGAAGGAGAGUACCUGGAGAAAAAGCAUCGGCUAACUCCGUGCCAGCAGCCGCGGUAAUACGGAGGAUGCGAGCGUUAUCCGGAUUUAUUGGGUUUAAAGGGUGCGUAGGCGGCCUGCCAAGUCAGCGGUAAAAUUGCGGGGCUCAACCCCGUACAGCCGUUGAAACUGCCGGGCUCGAGUGGGCGAGAAGUAUGCGGAAUGCGUGGUGUAGCGGUGAAAUGCAUAGAUAUCACGCAGAACCCCGAUUGCGAAGGCAGCAUACCGGCGCCCGACUGACGCUGAGGCACGAAAGUGCGGGGAUCAAACAGGAUUAGAUACCCUGGUAGUCCGCACAGUAAACGAUGAAUGCUACCUGUCCGGGGGGGAUUGACCCCUGGGUGGCACAGCGAAAGCGGUAAACCUUUCCCCUGGGGGGGUAGGCGGCCACGGUGGAAAUUAAAGGAAAUGGCGGGGGGCCGCCCCAAGGGAGGGACAAGUGGGUUAAUUUGAUGAAUAGGGGAGGACCUUUCCCGGGGUUCAACCCCGAAGGGACCUUUCCCGAAAGGGGGAUGGCCCACCAAGGUUUUUAAGGAGGGGGUGCCAGGGUGUUGUUAAGUUGGUCCGUGGGGGGUUGGGUUAAAGUCCCAAACGAGGGCCACCCCCCCCGACCGGUGGUUAAUGGUCCAACCGGGGGAUUUGUUGGGGCCGCCGGGGCCAAGUGGGGGGGAGGGGGGGAAGAAGUUCAAUUAGCCCGGCCCCUACGCUCGGGGGGGCCCCAGGGGUUCCAAGGCCGGGACAGAGAGAAGGGCCAGGGGGGCGCCGAGGGGGAACCUCAAAACCUGUCUCAGUUCGGAUCGGAGUCUGCAACCCGACUCCGUGAAGCUGGAUUCGCUAGUAAUCGCGCAUCAGCCACGGCGCGGUGAAUACGUUCCCGGGCCUUGCACACACCGCCCGUCAAG